Molecule: long non-coding RNA, 1981 nt
Filed under: Brachypodium distachyon (stiff brome)
Lineage: Eukaryota; Viridiplantae; Streptophyta; Magnoliopsida; Poales; Poaceae
Description: long non-coding RNA (BDIS_LNC004899)
Source: RNAcentral
ACCACUGAUAUAUACUACUGGAGCAACUCGUUAAAAAAUAGGGUUGUUCGUGCCAACACACAAUACUCAUUUGGAACAGAAAACAUUCCCACAUAUCCUUUGCACCUGAACACAGAUAUUACCCCAGUGCAUGAAAAAAGGUCAAAAACACAAAAAAUCCACACUUGUUUUUGUCUUGGGAACACAAACUCAUGGUAGAAGGUGUAUAUAAUAGGAAUCUGACAAAAGAGGGCACCGACAGUCUUCAGAGCUUGACAAUUUAAACUUGAACAAACAAUCUUGCUGCAUUGCCCACCUCGAACAUAAGGACGCUGCCGCUCCUGAUCCCGUGGCAAAUGCAGAAAUCCUCCCACCCCUGGUGGAUGACAGUGUCACAUGCGUUGGUCGUUGAGUAUGCCGGUGCCAUGAAUUUGUUGCUUAGCCUUUCAGAACUGAAAUUGCCAUACCCAGAAGUGGGAAUCCUCAGCACAUUCUUGCUCUUGCAUGGGAUAACCUGCGAGAUACACUUAUGAAAACUUGGAAAAAGUCCUAGCUAGUCGUAACGGCAAAAAGGGAAAUGACAAUAAACUUACAAGUACUCGGGAAGCCAAAUCAAGGUCAGUCAUCUUCUGAACGAUGAUCUCACAUUCGAAAAACUCAGGUUCAUCCAAUCCAUCUAAUAUUUUCAGAACCCUUCGUACUUCACGAUCGGUUAGGUCGGCCAUGUUCUUGAAUACAGUGGAGUGGAAGAGAUUGCGCACAUCAGCACUAACCUCACGUAGCCCUGUGAAAAAAGAAGCAAUAAGUUAUAGAAAAAAGUAAGCAAAAUAAAACAACAAAUAAAUAAAUAAAGAAAACAAGCUACUAACCAAAAAGGGUAGCAUGCAGCACAACAUCAUUGGGCUGCCCCACUAACACAGCACUGAAAGCAUCCCCGUCCUCCGCGGCAGAGAAGUGCACACUAGCACCAGGUUUCAACUUGUGGGUCUUUGCAAACAGUUUCCAAUAAGCACAACAUAGCAAGGUGGCGUCAGUCCCAAUUUGGAUGUGGAAGUCGUACUCGAACCCAUGACAGUCCACAACAACAAGGAAGUUCUCCGCAAAAUCGUUCAGGCGAUCCUAAGAACUGGGGAACAACCUGCUUAAACAGAAAGCAUUGGUAAUUUUUUUUUAAAAAGAAUCAAAAAUAAAAAUGUGAACACUUAACUAUUCCCAUUACCGCAAAAUUGCCACACCCUUCAACCAUGGUGAUCGUGAAGGUUGAAUGGCAAGCCUCAGGGCAUUUGCACAGUACAUUGAACUUGUUGCACUCAUUGCAAGGGCGCGCCAUGAACUCCACUAGGAAAACACAUAGGUUAAGUGCAGAACACUCACAGGAAAAAACAAUAAAAACGUCACGUAUACUUCAAUGAUACUUUCUGGAAAAACACAAAGCAACCCGUGAUCCGGCGAUCUAAAAACGGCGUGUCUAUCUUAUGUAGGGUGGUAUCUGCAACAGUAUACAGUAAUCAAACAAAGCAACCCGCGAUCUAACAACCCCUUUAUCGAAUCACAGAUGCAAAAAAAAAGGGACCAGACCCUAGACACACGUCCCUGCACGGAUAGAGCGGUGCUAGGACGGAAGAAACUUUACCACGAUCUGAGGGCUGUUGGAGCAAUCUGGCAAGACAGGCGAAAGGAACUCCGGCGACGGUUCUCCCUCUUCCCGCACCCCGUCCUCAAACUCGAAAGCGAGAUAAAAAAAAGGAAACAACACGUCCUCCCCGUCAAUCAACACCCCCUCCCGGCCACCCUCCCCUGAGGCCCGACGAAAAGCCUAGGACAAAUGUGCUCCGAAGCCCAAACAGAACACAGGCCGCAUACUAGCCCGGCCAGAGGAAAAAAAAACAAACCCACGAAUCUCCGCGCACAAAUCUAAAGUACAAAUUAGGGGAGGGGGUGGUUUAGUCCCACCUCGCUCGUUUAGAGGCACGGUCACCGGCAUAAAAAGGUUCGGCCACCC